This 1177-nucleotide unclassified non-coding RNA is filed under the name Hevea brasiliensis (rubber tree). Lineage: Eukaryota; Viridiplantae; Streptophyta; Magnoliopsida; Malpighiales; Euphorbiaceae. The record is from RNAcentral.
GUCCUUCAAAGGUCCUACACCACGCCCUUCUCGAAUUUCCAUAGUCAUAGAUCUGGAAACAACAUCUCUUGAGGCAAGAUCCUUGGCAGUUGGGGCAUACCUUUCCAUAAAUCGCUCACCCUCACUAUUCCUCAGGAUACCACCUUCACCGCGAGAUCCUUCAGUAAUGAGGCAACCAGCCCCAUAUAUACCAGUUGGAUGAAAUUGCACAAACUCAAGAUCCUGAAGAGGAAGCCCAGCACGCGCAACCAUAGCAUUACCAUCUCCAGUGCAAGUAUGAGCAGAUGUUGCCGAGAAGUAAGCUCGGCCAUAACCCCCGGUGGCCAAAAUUGUAUUGGCAGCACGGAAUCGAUGCAAGGUACCAUCCUCCAUAUUUAGUGCUAUUACACCUUGGCAGCUCCCAUCACUGUUCAUUAGUAAAUCCAAAGCGAAAUAUUCCACAAAAAACUGUGUAUUAUGCUUCAUGGCCUGGCCAUAAAGAGUAUGCAAUAGAGCAUGCCCAGUCCGAUCUGCAGCGCAUGCACAACGAUAUGCUUGUCCUCCUUUCCCAAAGUCCAGGCUUUGACCACCAAAUGCACGUUGAUAUAUUUUACCAUCUUCUGUUCGAGAGAAAGGCAAACCAUAAUUCUCAAGCUCUAUAACUGCUUUUGGAGCUUCUCUACACAUGUAUUGGAUAGCAUCCUGAUCACCUAACCAAUCACUUCCUUUGACUGUAUCAUACAUGUGCCACCUCCAAUCGUCUUCUGUCAUGUUGCCUAAUGCAGCAUUUAUACCACCCUGAGCUGCAACAGUGUGAGAUCGAGUAGGAAAGAGCUUGGUUAUGCAAGCAGUAUUGAAUCCAUGCUCAGACAACCCUAUUGCUGCACGAAGCCCAGCACCGCCUGCACCAACCACCACCGCAUCAUAUGUGUGAUCGACUACCGUGUAGGACGAGCCUCCCACAUUAGUUUGUGAGGAGAAGAGUCGGCGAAAAUGGCCGCCGCCGGAGAUAGAUCUGUUGGAGGAAGCGCGAAGACCACGCGACACACAGCGCCACAUUCUGAAACGUAUCGGAAACCAAUAUGCCGGUGCGGAUUCUGUUCGGAGAUUGAAUGGAGUUAUAGAUGAAGAAGUACAGAAUACAAUGUAGAGCAAUCAAAUGGAUGUGAAAGUGGGAUGAAGAGAAGGACUAUGAUUU